Molecule: long non-coding RNA, 790 nt
Organism: Gorilla gorilla gorilla (western lowland gorilla)
Lineage: Eukaryota; Metazoa; Chordata; Mammalia; Primates; Hominidae
Exons: 2
Source: RefSeq, a predicted model, not a curated record
CCCCGCCCAACGGACCAGCCCCGGGCACGUAAGGGUUACCGGGAGUCCAGGGAGCUGUCGCCCUCCCGCGCCUCCCAGUUACCGUGGCAACGAUGUUGCCUAGUUAACGCGAGAGCUCACGCGCAGCUCUGGGAGCCGACAAGAUACAGUAAACAAUUGGCUUGCAUUGCACCUUCCUACCCAAGCAGCUUGGUUUUCUUUCGCUUUGACCCUAUAAUUUCUUUCCCACUUCGUUGUCGUCUCUGAAUUACCUUUCUCUUGAUUCUUGCCCAUUAGCAUCCUCCAAUUUCAGAUGUUUGUAGAUCCCCAAGUGUUCCCAGGGAAAACUACUAGAAAAGGAGAAAACUGAAUGGGCUACCUCUGAAGUCCAGGGCACCCUCCUCUAUCUUGUUCACUUCCUCAUCAGGCACUAUCUAUGGACUGAGAAGAGAAGGACUUUAAAAGAGUGGUAAAGAAAGCAACAAAGACAAUGACUGGAAAGACAGAAGAAUUGUGCAGAGAAAGAGGCAGAUAGAAAUGGAAGUCUGUUGUUCCCCUCUAUGUGUCUAUGUGUUUUCAUCAUUUUGCUCCCACUGAUACGUGAGAUCAUGCCACAUUUGGUUUUCUGUUCCUGUGUUAGUUUGGUAAGGAUAAUGUCCUCCAGCUCUAUCCAUGUCCUUGCAAAGAACGUGAUCUCAUUCUUUUUAAUGGGUGUAAAGUAUUCCAUGGUGUAUAUGUACCACAACACCCCUGAACUUAACUUAAAAGUUAAAAAUAAAAAAUAAAAAAGGAAAAGCUGAGUUAAGCUAUA